Molecule: ribosomal RNA, 884 nt
Filed under: uncultured bacterium
Lineage: Bacteria
Description: bacterial SSU rRNA
Rfam family: Bacterial small subunit ribosomal RNA
Source: RNAcentral
CCUUAGAGUUUGAUCCUGGCUCAGGACGAACGCUGGCGGCGCGCCUAACACAUGCAAGUCGAACGAGAGAUGAGGAGCUUGCUCUUCAAAUCGAGUGGCGAACGGGUGAGUAACGCGUGAGGAACCUGCCUCAAAGAGAGGGACAACAGUUGGAAACGACUGCUAAUACCGCAUAAGCCCACAGCUCGGCAUCGAGCAGAGGGAAAAGGAGCAAUCCGCUUUGAGAUGGCCUCGCGUCCGAUUAGCUAGUUGGUGAGGUAACGGCCCACCAAGGCGACGAUCGGUAGCCGGACUGAGAGGUUGAACGGCCACAUUGGGACUGAGACACGGCCCAGACUCCUACGGGAGGCAGCAGUGGGGAAUAUUGCACAAUGGGGGAAACCCUGAUGCAGCGACGCCGCGUGGAGGAAGAAGGUCUUCGGAUUGUAAACUCCUGUUGUUGAGGAAGAUAAUGACGGUACUCAACAAGGAAGUGACGGCUAACUACGUGCCAGCAGCCGCGGUAAAACGUAGGUCACAAGCGUUGUCCGGAAUUACUGGGUGUAAAGGGAGCGCAGGCGGGAGAACAAGUUGGAAGUGAAAUCCAUGGGCUCAACCCAUGAACUGCUUUCAAAACUGUUUUUCUUGAGUAGUGCAGAGGUAGGCGGAAUUCCCGGUGUAGCGGUGGAAUGCGUAGAUAUCGGGAGGAACACCAGUGGCGAAGGCGGCCUACUGGGCACCAACUGACGCUGAGGCUCGAAAGUGUGGGUAGCAAACAGGAUUAGAUACCCUGGUAGUCCACACCGUAAACGAUGAUUACUAGGUGUUGGAGGAUUGACCCCUUCAGUGCCGCAGUUAACACAAUAAGUAAUCCACCUGGGGAGUACGACCGCAAGGUUGAAACU